AUUGAACGCUGGCGGCAGGCCUAACACAUGCAAGUCGAGCGGAUGAAGGGAGCUUGCUCCUGGAUUCAGCGGCGGACGGGUGAGUAAUGCCUAGGAAUCUGCCUGGUAGUGGGGGAUAACGUCCGGAAACGGGCGCUAAUACCGCAUACGUCCUGAGGGAGAAAGUGGGGGAUCUUCGGACCUCACGCUAUCAGAUGAGCCUAGGUCGGAUUAGCUAGUUGGUGGGGUAAAGGCCUACCAAGGCGACGAUCCGUAGCUGGUCUGAGAGGAUGAUCAGUCACACUGGAACUGAGACACGGUCCAGACUCCUACGGGAGGCAGCAGUGGGGAAUAUUGGGCAAUGGGCGAAAGCCUGAUCCAGCCAUGCCGCGUGUGUGAAGAAGGUCUUCGGAUUGUAAAGCACUUUAAGUUGGGAGGAAGGGCAGUAAGUUAAUACCUUGCUGUUUUGACGUUACCAACAGAAUAAGCACCGGCUAACUUCGUG
Molecule: ribosomal RNA, 484 nt
Filed under: uncultured bacterium
Lineage: Bacteria
Description: partial 16S ribosomal RNA
Rfam family: Bacterial small subunit ribosomal RNA
Source: RNAcentral